Molecule: long non-coding RNA, 151 nt
Organism: Chelonia mydas (Green sea turtle)
Lineage: Eukaryota; Metazoa; Chordata; Testudines; Cheloniidae
Exons: 3
Source: RefSeq, a predicted model, not a curated record
GAACUGCCCCUGUUACCUUACCCAGGGAAAAGGGACCUGCUUAACCUGGGGCUAAUAUAUCUGUCUUCUAUCACUCUCCUGUAGCCAUCUGGCCCGAACCUGUCACAACAUAUACACACGUACAUACAUACUAACAGACAGACACACACAC